CAGCCGCCACGGGAAUACGGAGGGUGCAAGCGUUAAUCGGAAUUACUGGGCGUAAAGCGCACGCAGGCGGUCUGACAAGUCAGAUGUGAAAUCCCCGGGCUUAACCUGGGAACUGCAUUUGAAACUGUCAGGCUGGAGUCUUGUAGAGGGGGGUGGAAUUCCAGGUGUAGCGGUGAAAUGCGUAGAGAUCUGGAGGAAUACCGGUGGCGAAGGCGGCCCCCUGGGCCUGUACUGACGCUCAUGCACGAAAGCGUGGGGAGCAAACAGGAUUAGAUACCCCUGUAGUCCCUGUCUCUUAUAC
This 301-nucleotide ribosomal RNA is filed under the name uncultured bacterium. RNAcentral describes it as "partial 16S ribosomal RNA". It matches the Rfam family "Bacterial small subunit ribosomal RNA", at positions 509 to 807 of the family's 1533-position model. The record is from RNAcentral.